Long non-coding RNA from Xenopus laevis (African clawed frog), 2866 nucleotides. RefSeq lists it as uncharacterized. The record is from RefSeq and is a predicted model, not a curated record. NCBI's taxonomy places the organism in Eukaryota, Metazoa, Chordata, Amphibia, Anura, Pipidae. The transcript is spliced from 4 exons.
CACUAUUUACUUACAUAUUUAUAUAUAAGUAUUUAUAUAUAGUUUUUGAAUUAUUUGCCUUUUUCGUCUGCUUCUUUCCAGCUUACAAACGGGGUUCACUUACUCCAGCAGUCAAAAACAAGGUCUCUGUGUGGCUAAAAUUGUACUUUUUAUUACUUAUGUUUUAUGCUGGCCCUCUGCUAUUCAUAUUGCCAUCACUCAUUCAACCAAUUUCCGGGUUACAAAGGUAAAUAGGACACUAGCAACCAGCUAUCUGCUGAAAUAUAAAACCGGAGAACUGCUGGACAAAACAGUAAAUAUGAAAAAACAUAAAAAAUGGAGACAAGUUGCAAAUUGUUCUGGAAUAUCAAGUCUAUGUAAUACUAAAAGUUAUUUUGAUUGUAAACUAUCCCUUUAAAACACAGUAGGUUGUAUAAUUAGCUUAACUUUGAUAAAAUGCAUAAAAUGGGUCAGGGGGUUUGUGUACUUUGAGGAUGUCCUGUAUGAUGACAAUGUUUUACUUAAUGAUUCUGUAUGGUGGAAAUAGAGCUCACAAUAUUUCUAAGAUGGUCCACCCCCCCUAAAAGGAUUACUCAAGUCAUUGCUUUUACGCCAAAAAAUAAUCUUAUGAACCUAUCAAAAGUUUAUGCAUGCAUUUUAUAUAUAAAUUUCAAUAUUUUACUUGUUAAUUAAAUUUGCCCUGGGAAGUUUGACAACAUAUUAACAGACUGACCCCUGGCUUGUCCACGGAGAUUUCAUUAUAGAUACCCAAAAUGGAUGUCUUUAGUAGCCCAGUGCCUAAGCAGAAUAAGUCACAGAAUUACAACUCUAACACUUGUAACUCUUUUUGUAAAACUCUAUAUUUGCAUUGCAAGCUUAGCUACUAACGUCACCAUGCUAUAUGAUAUGUGUUUGUUAAUGUAUAAUGACAAGUCGCGAUUCCAUUACAGCUUUUAAGCAUGGAACAAGAUAAGUAAAGCUCACUCUGCUGUUCUAGAGUUCCAACGUCCAGUACGAGUUGUACGGGUCUGAUUUUUGUGGUCCAAAAAAAGCCAUAUUCUUCUCUAUGGUCUUCUUCGGGAAGUAGGUGCUGUAUUGGCACAUGCACAGAUGGAGAAGUCUUCGAAUGCGCAUGUGUUGAAAUUGACGGAAAUUGCCAAAGUGCUGGAAGAAGACUCGAAGAUUACCGAAGAGCCGGCGCCAGUGAGCUCCUCUGUGCUGAAUCUGCAAAGAGAGAUGUUUUUAGGAACUGGACUUUUUUCAUCAUAUACAUUUCUCACUUUUGAAGAUGGAUAUGGAUCGGUGUGGGAAACAAUUCCCCCUUGGCAGCAAGGUGCAUUGGCCAGUUUGUUGUAACUAGUGGCAAUGAGGUAAGACUUUUGAUUUCAAUUACUAAUAUGGCUUAACUUAAAGGGGAACUCCGGCUUCCAAACCAAAAUUUGGCCAAAGAGGCCCACAUAACACAGAAACCACUAAUAUUCCCAUCACAGUUACCUGUUUCUUUAAAAAGUAUGAAUAAAUGCCAUUUUCUAUGCUGCAAUCCAGCUGUUUAACAGUUCUUCUCUUUCUGCAUCAUUUGAAAUCCUGGCAGGGAUGGAGGGAAAAAAAACACUGAUGUUAAAAAUUGUAACAACUUCUCAACAAUCUCUGACAUGUAACCCCCGCAUCAGUGUAUCAGAAGAUUGGUGAUGCUGCUGGGGUUGUGAAUAAGAAUUAACUCUAAUUGUUUGUAGAUAGGUGAAGAUUUUUAUAUACUUUAUAUUUAGAUAAAAACAAUAAAAAUGAGUCUACCUCCCCAGCCCGACUAUGUACUGUACCUAUAAUUUAAGUUUGUGGUCAUCUUUCAGUUAUUAUGAAAUGAAAGAGACUGAUCAAAACUAAUUGAUGAGUUGCUGUUGAAACCCCCACUUGUACCAUUUUAUAUUGGAAAGUAAAUAUAAUAACGUCUUUAUAUCUUCUGAUUCGGGUUGCUCUUUCUUAUCUCUGCAAAGGAGUCCAUUAUCGAUGGGUAUUUUUCUUCCCUAGUGGACCAUCUCUGGAUGAGAUCGGAGAACUUGUUAAUGAUUUAAAGGUAUAUAAUAUCAUGGAAUAUACAGUUAAAGUAGCUUCUUAUACCCAGUAUAGAGUGUUUGCAACAGAAACAAGAAGGAAUGUUAGCAAUCCGUUGUAACCAAUGAAUAAUAGUUACAGUAAACUUUUUUCUCCUUUCAUAACCAAAAGUCUGUUUCAGCAGCAGCAACACUGUUGUUUUUACAUAGCAGAGAGCUAUCAGUGUGAAUAACUAUGGAACCUUUGCAUACGGAUAGUGUUUUAGCAGAAACCGAUGUAUACCAGCUUCUAUUAUCUGUGCACUCUAGGCAAAGUUUAGCAUUAAUCCCUCUUCCCAGAACAAACAAAAGUAUCCUGUACUCAGAGCCUGAUUCUCUGCUGUAAAUAGAUUGUGCUCCUAUUAUUCCCUUAAUCUUCACUAAUCAUAACCCAUUCAGCCUGCUGCAGCCCCCUGCCCUGCCACCUUUACAGCCUUAAUACCGGAAGCCUUUUUUAUUUGAGUCAGUUGAUUUUGACAGUGACGGGAUUUUAUGGAACCAUAUUGAAUGGUCAGCCUUUUGUGGAUUAAGCAGACAAUACGGCUAGUGAAUACAGAUUAGAAUUUACUAAUGCUUUAGAUUGUGAUUAUCGACAUUUUUUGGAAUUCAUGUUUUAGGCCUUGGCUAUGCCAGGUCUACUUCCAUAAUACAUCUGAUGAGUAGUUACAGGUCAGCCUUGUAGUGAUUCACUGGUUUGUACACUCCCUCUUAAUCUACUGUGUGCUUUAGUAUUGCGCCCAAAAUAAAUGAAUGUUUAACUGUUGUGUUUCUAAAGGAAGAGUAACACACAAAUAUGUUUU